This is a long non-coding RNA of Spinacia oleracea (spinach), 887 nucleotides long. RefSeq lists it as uncharacterized. The record is from RefSeq and is a predicted model, not a curated record. NCBI's taxonomy places the organism in Eukaryota, Viridiplantae, Streptophyta, Magnoliopsida, Caryophyllales, Amaranthaceae. The transcript has 3 exons.
GUAGCUUGUGUGAAUAGUGUCAUUACAAACUUUUGUAUAAGGCGGUCUUACGAAAAAGACCGCCUUGAUGGCAGCCAAUAUGCCACGUAACAUCUGAUGUGGCGUGACUCAUCAACCUUUUUUUUAAUCAAAAUAUAAAUACACAUUUUCUUCCCAUUUUCAUUUGAAAACCCUAAUUCCUUUCUCUCUCCUCCAAAGCUCUUUGUCUCUCUCUCCUUCAACGUCGUCACCUUCUCAUCAAAAUUGAUGGCGGAGGUGGCGAAGGCGGCGGCGGAGCUCCUUCCCGUUCCACCGAGUAGCGCGAGAUGAAGGAGGAGCAAUGGUGAUUCUCUUCCUUUUCGACGCCACGGAGGAGCAACGGUGCACGCAAUUGGUUCAUCGUCGACGCCGUCCGCACCUCGCUGCCGCCUUUCUCCACCUCCUCAUCGUUGUCUCAUUUGGAAGGAGAAGAACCGUGUUGUCGCCGUCAACGUCGAAGCUCUGCCGUUUUCCGUGACGGCUUCGUCGACGGCUUGCUGCUUAACACCCAAAGAUACAUGACGCCGGAGUUGGUGUUGUUGGACUUGCGGUGGUGGCGGCCUGGCUGAUGGUUGUGCAGUGUUGGUGUUGCGGUGUGAUGCCGAUUGUUGUGAUAUAGUCGCUGCAGAAUGAGGAUUCGUAGCUGGAAGCACUGUGACUGUUGUUGAUGUUGGUCGGAUAUAAUGGUGUUUUAGUUGUUUUAGUUUCGUUUUAGUUUUAGUUAAGAAUUGUAAUGUUUUAGUUACACUUUUUUUGUAUUUAGUUAAGAAUAAUUAUGUUUUAGUUUUAGUUAUAAUUCUGAGAUAAUGGUCUUCUUAGUGGAAUUGCUGGACUUACUUUCUAUGUUUUAGUUAUGAAUUUUUAAGUUU